This is a long non-coding RNA of Pipistrellus kuhlii (Kuhl's pipistrelle), 1585 nucleotides long. RefSeq lists it as uncharacterized. The transcript has 2 exons. The record is from RefSeq and is a predicted model, not a curated record. NCBI's taxonomy places the organism in Eukaryota, Metazoa, Chordata, Mammalia, Chiroptera, Vespertilionidae.
GUUACAGAGGAUGCGACCUGUCUCGUCCAUCUGAGAAAGAGAGACAAGGGGCCCUCCAUGGGGCCACUCCUGAAGGCACACCCAGAGAGGCUCCGAACCUUAGGGCUCAGAACCAAGUACAGAGACUCAGGCUGUGAUGAGGACCAGGACUAAGUUGCACAAUGCUUGAACACUUGGGAUUAGCCAGAGUGUCCCCACCCCAGAAGUCUCUCUCCUGCCCUAGCAAAGGCAAGGUGAGGCAGGAUGGCUGGUACUAACCAUCUGAGGCAGCUCUCUUUUCAGGUAUGUGAAUUCCAACUGCUGGUUAGAGGGCCCACUGCAGAUGACGAGGGGUAGGAUGUUGUCUGGAGGGAUCACGUGACCUGGGGAGACCCAGAGAGAGGCUGAGGUUGAGUCCAGAAAGAGCACUGCCCAACCCUUGCUUUCCAGACUAGGAGUAGCUGUUUAUAUCACUUACCCACCCACCUAUUUCCACACUACAGCAGCAAUGCUCAGAACUCUCCCAGGUGGACAGAGGGGGCACAGAGCACGAGAGCACAGAGAUGGCGAGCUCAGAGAGAGCGGGCAAAGGAUGAGAUGUCCAUCCCGUGUCUCCUCAGCCCCUUACGCCUGCUAACAGCAUAUGGUUCAACUAUGACAACGCGGCCUGUUCCACCCUGGACAUGGAUCCUCACCACAGGAAAACUCCACCAGGCGCUCGGUUUCCACCCCAGCACAUGCCAGCAGCUGCUCCCGAAAGUCAGAAACCUGUGGACCACAACGUGAAGGCGCUGUGACCUCCCUGAGGUCCAGGGACAGGGCCUCAGGUCUGAGCAGGCAGGGGCCUUAAUAGAGAGAGGAAGAGAGAAUCGCUUGGAAAGACAGAAGUCUAGGUGAGGAAGCGAGCGGCAAGUACAUAAGAACAGAGAAGUAAAAAGAAAAGCUGAUAACAGAUUAGCGAAAAGGAUAAAAGAAUUAUAUGGUGUCCAAUGCUGGCAGUCCCAUUUAACUACUUGUGGGAAUAGCAAAGGAAAUUUGGCACAGUGGCUCUCAGCCCCGCAUAUGCAACAAAAUCACCAGUGGGAACUUAAAAAUAUAUAUUCACAUGGCCAGGGCCCAGCCUAAACUAUUGAAUAAGAAUCUCUAGUGCGAGGACUAUGCUUUUGUAUUUUUAAAAGCUCCAUUCAAGUUUUUUACCUAUCAAAUUGGCAAAAAUCCAAAAGUUUGACCACUCUGGAGAAACAGGCAUGUGUAUAUACUGCAGAUGGAAUACAGCACAGUACCUCCGCAGCCAGCGGGGAAUGGGACAAUAUUUAACAAAUCAGAUAUAUUUAGAUUUUCUAAUCUAGCAAUCCCAUAUCUAGUAGUCUCCCAAGAAGAUACAGCUCAACAAACCAAUUAACACACGCACAGGAUAUUUCUUGUGAAGUUGUUUAUGAGGGCUAGACUGCCUUCCCAGAGGGACUGGUCAACUGCGCUAUGCUGCAUCCACCCAACAGUAACCUGCACAGCCAACGAAAGGAACGCAGACCGUGCCUGUGUGCUGAUACGGAGUGAUCACCAGAGCAUACUGGUGAACAGAAACUGAGCAUGCCACCUUUGACGU